ACUACGAGCAUUAGCUUGAAACCCAAAGGACUUGGCGGUGCUUUAGAUCCACCUAGAGGAGCCUGUUCUAGAACCGAUAACCCCCGUUCAACCUCACCUUUCCUUGUUUAUUCCGCCUAUAUACCACCGUCGUCAGCUUACCCUGUGAAGGUCUAAUAGUAAGCAAAAUUGGCAUAACCCAAAACGUCAGGUCGAGGUGUAGCGUAUGGAAAGGGAAGAAAUGGGCUACAUUCCCUUGCACAGGGAAUACGAACGAUAAACUGAAAUGUUUUUCCAAAGGAGGAUUUAGCAGU
Molecule: ribosomal RNA, 293 nt
Filed under: Micropterus salmoides (largemouth bass)
Lineage: Eukaryota; Metazoa; Chordata; Actinopteri; Centrarchiformes; Centrarchidae
Description: partial 12S ribosomal RNA
Rfam family: Bacterial small subunit ribosomal RNA
Source: RNAcentral